Long non-coding RNA from Ictalurus punctatus (channel catfish), 5488 nucleotides. Lineage: Eukaryota; Metazoa; Chordata; Actinopteri; Siluriformes; Ictaluridae. The record is from Ensembl.
CGCUCCAAACCCUGAGUGUGUGCAGAAGGAUCAGAGGGCAAAAACACUGCAGACAAACCUUAUAAGCAGCAGCCAUGUACAGUGUACAGACCAUGGCAGGCAGACAGACUGAGAGACAGGCAGAUUCCUCAGAGGAAAUCACUAUUAAAACAUCCAUACAAAACACUGUGUACAAACGAAGAGCAAUAUGAAGUAAUGAGAGAGAGGGGGCAAUCAAAUAGGAAUAGAGAUUAAUUGAAUAAGAUAAAUAAAUAGAUAGUCAAGUGCAUGGAUCAAAAAAUGAAGGAACCAAUAGAUUUUCAUGUCCAGAUUUCUCGAAGGUUGUCCCGUUUUAUCCUGGCUUAAAGGCGGCCAUCAUGCCAGCGCACCUGUCUUUUUAACCGUGAAUUUAUACCGAGGUCAGUGUGGUUCAGAGCUUCUUUCAGCUUUGCUAAGAGAAGUAGAGCAACUGGGCAACUGGCCUGGGUGUGGUCAAUAGUUUAGCACCUGGUUUCAGUUGGAUGUGGUGGUAUGUCUUAUUUCCCUGUGCUUUAAAACAUUUGCAAAUUUCUCUUUUACUUUCCGUUCAAGGUUAAGAUCAAUGUCAGAGUUAACUGUGUGUACGAUGUUAUUUUUUUUCUUGUGACUAUUCGAAGUGUCACACUCAAGCCAGCUCAGGAGUGCUCUGAGUCGAACCUGAUAGCAGUCAGCUAGCAGUUGCACUCGUUGCUACAACAUGUUUGGAUCAAUCUGUUGCUGAAAGUACACCUCAAAUUGUCACGUACUCCAUGAAGGCAAUGGUAAGCAUUGUCCACGAUGGCCAUGAGUUUGGACACCAUUCCUCUCUCCACCACCAUAUCCAGGAGGGUCAAGAUUUAACCCGAUGACAUCUUGGGUAAAACUUACACAAGCUAGUGAAACCUGCCAAUAGCCAAUAAAUAUAAGGCCAUGUGCACCCUAAUGAGGAUGUGUGUGUGUGUGUAUAUAUAUAUAUAUUGAAUGUUGUCUAAGCAUGUUGUAAAUAAACUAACAAAUUUAUGCAUUAAAUUAAAAUGCUAAAAAUAUAUUACUCUUGUAUAAUUACAACUAUACUGUAUUAUAUGAUCGUUUUUUAUGAAUGCAUUACUGAGUAAUAUACUUUUAUCUGAAGUUUUAAUUCAAUUUCACAAUAUGCCGCUGUUAGAUACCUGUUUAUCACACAUUUGAAACAGGCAUGCAUUUGAAACAGGCUUUAGCCAAGUCAUUAAAAGGUUCAUGAUUCAAAUUUAAUUUUCAAACAAUUUAAAUACAUUAUUGCAGUGUAAUAAUCAAAAAAUAAUCCCAAUCAAAACCAAAGAGAAAACACACUGCCACAUUACACAUCAAAGAGCCUAAAAUAUCACCUUGCAAAUAGCAGCUUAGUGUAUACAGACAUGAAAAUUCAAAUUUCAUAUGCAAGACUUGGCAUGUUAAUGAAGCACAGCGAGAGGGCAACAACGUUGACACCUGGAGAUCAUUAGUGAGAAUCAGCACGCCGUUUAUCAGCAUUUUUACAUGAAAGGUUAAAUCUACAGUCAGGAGUCAUAACAGUUAGUUGUCAAUUAAACUAUGGAUGCAUAACCAUUUCUCCACCUCUUGCACAUGCAAUUUUACCUAAAAUACAAAGACCUUUAGAAGGCAGUUUGAGGACAUGCGAUAAAGAAAUGCCCUAAUAUUUUCUGACCUUGGUAUAAUAAGUUUCUAUAUGGGUGAAUGGCUAUUUUGGGAUAUAUGACAUAAAGGUUUAGAUAUUCCAGCUAGCAAAACUCUAAAGUACUGAAAUGUACACUGAAUGUCCAUUUUAAUAGGAACACUUGUACACCUCCUUCUUUAUACAGUUAUCCAAUCAGUGGAUGCAUGUGGCAGCAGCACAAUGCAUAUAAUCAUGCAGAUAGAGUUCAAGAGCUUCAGUUCAUGGGCACAUCAAGCAUCAGAAUGGGGGAAAAGUGUGAUCUCUGUGACUUUAACUGUGGCAUGGUUGUUGGUGCCAGAAGGGCUGGUCUGAGUAUUUCAGAAACUGGGAUUUUCACACACAACUGUCUCUAGUCUUGCCAAGGGAACUGGAACUCUAAAGGGGUGACCAUAACAACAGUAGACAACUUCUAAUAGACAAGGUCAGAGGUUUCCCCUCGUGCUGAGCGCCAGAGCAAGCAGCACGCUCAACAGUCUGUAGCGCGACAGUGCGUGCUUCUGGGUUGUCAUACUUUGUUUACUUUUUGACAUGUGUUUUUUUAUGUUUUAUGUCAUGUCACCGCCCGAGUCUUGUUACUGGUUGUCUCCCUUAUGCAUAAUCAUUAUUCACAGCUGUUUAUGUUUUAUCCUUUUAUCAUUUGAUUUUGUUGUAUAUUUAAAUCCACUGUCUUUGUUCUGAGUAAGUUGCCGCCAGAGCCAUACCUUGUCCUCGUUUCCUUGAUUUUCUGAUCCUGUCCCUAGUUUCUCAUUUUGUGCUUUCCUUGCCUCGUUUGUGUCGUUUGUAGAUCGCCUGACCCAUGCCUGCAUUUGACCAUGUUUUUACCUAUUUUUGGAUUUAUCUGCCUGUCUCUCAUUAAAGCUUUUAAUUGCACUUGCAUCUGUCCCCACCCGUUACACAAUAGACAAAAAUAGCCUGAAAGAGUUUUGAAAUUCUGCGACAACUAGAAAGUACAUUUCUGAACACUAGCCAAAUACAGAUAUGCCCUUAUUAUUCUCAAAGAUAGUUUAGUAACUGUAUAAAGAUAUAUCUGGUGUAUUCCAUCUCAUUAAAUAAAUAAUAAAUGGUAAUAAACCUAGCAGUGAAACAUGUUUUAUUCUAUUAAGUGUAUAAUAAUAUGUUCUUUUCAAUAAGUUAAAAAUCAAAAAUCGUUCCUAAACAAAAAUAAAGAUGUUUUACCUUGAAAUUUCAUUGUAAAUUAUUUUUGCAGGGAUCCCCUUAUCCACAGUAAGCAAGAUGGAUGGGAAAGCCAACUUUUUCAUCCAAAACUGGCUGAUCUUGCGGCAAUGCCAAUCUGAAACCUGUCUUUUUGGAAAGAACAUCUUACAUUGCAAUGCAUCAGCAUGGGUUACAAGCAGGAGAAAACCAGGCUAGUGUUGCACCUGAGGGAGUCCACUGACCAAGCAGUGUGGAGUACAACUGUCCAGGUCCACAUAGGUGCCAACACAAUCAUGUCCUGAGUAGAUUGGCCGAGGUGCUGGAGAGGUGUAGACAGGUCAUAAGUAGAGGUCAUCCUCCACCAUUGUGUCAGCACAUCCAAGUCCUCAGAGAAGUUGGGAGCAACACAAGCGCCACGCCAAGAGUUCAAUCAAGCAUAGUUCCUUGAGACUGAUAGUUGAUCUUGGCAGGAAGUUCCAGUUCCCUAAUGAAAUCACCAAAACAAGUUCCCAUGGGAAGAAGCAAUAGAAGCUGCCUUUGAGAAGAAGAGGCUGAAGUACUCAGAUCUCAUCGAUGAGUGUAAGGAGGCUGGCUGGAGAACCAUCAUCUACUCUGUAGAUGCAGGAAGCUGUGGUUUUGUUGGAACAUCAACUGUUCGCCUCCUGAAGGAGUAACUGGCCCAAACCAGUGGAAGACCCUGAAAGACUUGGCUGAUGCGGCAGAGAAGAGCAGCUUUUGGCUUAGGAUGAGGAGAAAGGAGAAGUGCUGUGGUAGUAAAACCUAACCCGAGGUCUAGUUACACAUGGUGGCAGGGAGAGGUCCCUGCCACUGCUCCGUCACCAGGAUACGUUCUGGGAUUAAAGGAGCAAAACUCUAUUGAGCAGUGAUACCUGGCUGACGACCCUGCAGCUGACCUAUGCCAUAUUUGAACCAGUGGCACUGAACAUGCAUUAACGGUGCCAGUAGGGCUUGUCACAGCCUUAGCCACUGGAAAGGUCUGUAUGGCUCUGGCUAUGUUAAGCAAACAUGCUUGAGUGGUAUUAGGUGUAACAGGAGGAAACCAUAUAGAAACAGUGGUACUGAGCAUGCAUUAAUGGUGCCAGUGGGACUUGCUACAGCCGUAGUCACUGGGGAGGCGUGUAUGGUUGCAUGGCAUGGUGGCAAGGCUUAUGGAAGGGCAAUAAUCCUGUGAGCAUCAGAGGAGGUGUGACAAGCAGUAAUGCCAUAGCAGUUCAACAUGUACCUGUGUAAUUAAUAAUAUUAAAUACAGACAUUAGAGACUGUCUUACUGUAGCUGUUGUUUUGUCCAUCAAACUCAGGGGAGCACCUCAGUAAAAUGUAAAGAACAGUAAAGAUGUAAUAUGGGGUGAGAGGCAGGAGGCAAGCAUGUAAAUUCAGUAUAUACUUUUAUUUGAUUUUAUAUCUUAGCCCUUAGCAGGGCUCAAAUCACAGCCAGGCAAAGUCAAGCAAGGAUAAUUUAUGUCAAAACAGGCAAAGGACAAAACCAGGCGUGCAAUGAAACACAGAACAUGUUAAACGAGGCUUGUCUUUAAAGUAACUAUUUGCAAGGUAAGACUUUGCAAAGAUACACUGACAUAAUAGGUUGGCAUUAUAAUCAUAAUUAAAUGAAGAACAGGUGAACACAAGUGAGCAAAAAGCCAGUGCCAGGACAGUGUCGAAAAACAAGGCUAGAACACAACCCAAAUCAAACAUGAGCACACAUCACCAUGGGAACUGCAACUCCAAUGGGGAGACCAUGACAAAAUUAAAGCAAAAAAAGUACAAUAAAAUAUAAUCUCUCAAAGAUUUUGUGGUAUUGAUGAAUACCACAGUCUGUGUUAUGUUGACCUUGUUGGUUGCACAUAACGACAAAGUGAUAAAGUAGUGACAUUUCUGACUGGAAACAUUUGACAUGGGUUUAGGGCUUCAUUUACAAAUACAUUUGACUGGAGAAUUCAUGAAAGCAUUUCACAUAAAAAUGUAUUCAGAGACUGAAUAACUUCCCUCAGUCUUCCAUUAUAAGUGUGUUUUGAGCAAACAGAUUUUUUUCAUGUGUCGAAAUUAUUGUUCUUUAUUGUGAUUAUUGUAACUGCACGUAUACUACAGAUGUGUAGCAGUAGUGAAUGCCAUUUGAAGUGUCAAAGUAUGUGAAUAAUAAUAUUGUGCAUGUUGAAUAUUACAAUAUACUGAAUAACAGAUUAUAAGCAUCUACCUACAUCAUGGCUUUGUGAAUAAAUGUUGAGAGAUCCUAAAAAAAUAAUAAUCCUGUCAUUGAUUCUGUCAUAUGAUUUGGUUGUGCCACUUCAUAAUAAUUGCCAAUUUACAAUAUCUGCAGUCUGAAAAACUUCAGGGUCAACAAGAGCAAUUAUUAAAACAUAUUAUAUAUUCAGCUACACGUUUGCUGAGCUCGGGUUUCUGUCCAUGUGAAGUUUCUGUGCAUACUGUCCCUGUGUUCUGCGAUUUUCCUCACUCUUCCCCAAAACAUGCAGGUAGGUGGAUUGGCUGUGCUAAAUUCAUACACUUAGGUGUGAAAAAGUGCAAAUGUUUGUGUUCGUGUGUGUCUGGCCCAUUCAGGGUCAAGUUCCCUCUAUGACGUCACCCAGUUCUCAGAACUUUUUCUGAAGGAGUUCUCGCAGCCGGGGC